This 684-nucleotide unclassified non-coding RNA is filed under the name Hevea brasiliensis (rubber tree). Lineage: Eukaryota; Viridiplantae; Streptophyta; Magnoliopsida; Malpighiales; Euphorbiaceae. The record is from RNAcentral.
GGGAAAUAUUACCAGGACUGAUCUGUUUUUGCGGCUAAAGUAAUGGGCUAAUACACGUUACCAAAGACUAUUGGCCGGAGUUCCACUGGAGGAUGGCGGCGUUGGCUGCUGGUUGCUGUUGCUGAGGGGGUCGUUGCUCGCCUGAGAAGAGGAGAGAAGGAAAUAGAGAAGAGAGGAGAGACAGACGGCCGCCGGGGCUGCUGGCUGGCGCAGGAGUUCUCGCCGGCGACUGCUGGCUGUUGCUGGUGGCGCUGGUGUCGCUGGAGCUGCAGAUCGAAUUCAAAGCUAGCUUUGCAGGGCUGCUGGUCGCUGAAGAGGAGAGAAGGAAAGAGGGGUCGCCGGAUGCUGUUGCUCGUCGAUUAAAGCUGCUGCUUGCCAUGGCCUCACCAAGCUGCUGGUCGUCGUCGUCUGCUGGCCGCUGCUGCUACUAUCGUGCGCCUCUCCAGGCGCUGCUGCUGCGCAGGCUGUUCUCGCCGGUGACUGCUGCUGCCGGUGGUCUGCUCAGAGUCGUCCUCUGCUCUCGCCUACAAAAAAAAUGGAGAGAAAGAAGGGGAAGGGAAGGAGAAGGGCGAGGAGAGAGAGGAGGCUGCCACCACUUGGAGGUGGCGAUUUCCACCGGAAAGAAUGGAGGGAGAGAGAGACGGCUGGAGAGAGGGAGAGGAGGAAGACGAGAGGGAGAGAGAG